AUUUAAAUAAUUUAAUGAAAAUUUUGAUUUGUGGUGUCAAAUAUAUGGAUUAUAGUUCAUUUUAAAUU
Molecule: transfer RNA, 68 nt
Filed under: Paracladura trichoptera
Lineage: Eukaryota; Metazoa; Arthropoda; Insecta; Diptera; Trichoceridae
Description: tRNA-His
Source: RNAcentral